Molecule: transfer RNA, 61 nt
Filed under: Dorcus hopei
Lineage: Eukaryota; Metazoa; Arthropoda; Insecta; Coleoptera; Lucanidae
Description: Dynodorcus curvidens hopei tRNA-Cys
Source: RNAcentral
AGUCUUGUAGUCAAAAAUGAUAUCAAAUUGCAAGUUUGAUGGUGGAGUUAUCCUAAGGCUU